This 496-nucleotide ribosomal RNA is filed under the name uncultured bacterium. Its description in RNAcentral is "bacterial SSU rRNA". It matches the Rfam family "Bacterial small subunit ribosomal RNA", at positions 28 to 560 of the family's 1533-position model. The record is from RNAcentral.
UUGGAACGCUGGCGGCAUGGCUAAAACAUGCAAGUCGAACGAGAAAGAGGAGCAAUCCUCGAGUAAAGUGGCGAAAGGGUGAGUAAUACGUUUCUACGUGCCUUGAGGUCAGGGAUAGCCAAGGGAAACCUUGGGUAAUACCUGAUGUGGUCUACGGAUCAAAGGCUUGCCGCCUCAAGAGCGGGGAACGUCCUAUCAGCUAGUUGGUGAGGUAACGGCUCACCAAGGCUAAGACGGGUAGCGGUGUGAGAGCACGGCCCGCCACAUCGGAACUGAGACACUGUCCGGACUCCUACGGGAGGCUGCAGUAACGAAUCUUCCGCAAUGCGCGAAAGCGUGACGGAGCAAUGCCGCGUGCAGGAUGAAGCCCUUCGGGUGUAAACUGCUGUCAGGUUUUAGCAAGAAAGUGAGCAAGACCAAAGGAAGAGACGACUAACUCUGUGCCAGCAGUCGCGGUAAUACAGAGGUCUCGAGCGUUCAACGGAUUCAUGGUACG